Molecule: ribosomal RNA, 837 nt
Filed under: Curvularia brachyspora
Lineage: Eukaryota; Fungi; Ascomycota; Dothideomycetes; Pleosporales; Pleosporaceae
Description: eukaryotic LSU rRNA
Rfam family: Eukaryotic large subunit ribosomal RNA
Source: RNAcentral
AACAGGGAUUGCCCUAGUAACGGCGAGUGAAGCGGCAACAGCUCAAAUUUGAAAUCUGGCUCUUUCAGAGUCCGAGUUGUAAUUUGCAGAGGGCGCUUUGGCUUUGGCAGCGGUCCAAGUUCCUUGGAACAGGACGUCACAGAGGGUGAGAAUCCCGUACGUGGUCGCUAGCUAUUGCCGUGUAAAGCCCCUUCGACGAGUCGAGUUGUUUGGGAAUGCAGCUCUAAAUGGGAGGUAAAUUUCUUCUAAAGCUAAAUAUUGGCCAGAGACCGAUAGCGCACAAGUAGAGUGAUCGAAAGAUGAAAAGCACUUUGGAAAGAGAGUCAAACAGCACGUGAAAUUGUUGAAAGGGAAGCGCUUGCAGCCAGACUUGCUUGCAGUUGCUCAUCCGGGCUUUUGCCCGGUGCACUCUUCUGUAGGCAGGCCAGCAUCAGUUUGGGCGGUGGGAUAAAGGUCUCUGUCACGUACCUUCCUUCGGGUUGGCCUUAUAGGGGAGACGUCAUACCACCAGCCUGGACUGAGGUCCGCGCAUCUGCUAGGAUGCUGGCGUAAUGGCUGUAAGCGGCCCGUCUUGAAACACGGACCAAGGAGUCUAACAUCUAUGCGAGUGUUUGGGUGUCAAGCCCGAACGCGUAAUGAAAGUGAACGGAGGUGGGAACCCGCAAGGGUGCACCAUCGACCGAUCCUGAAGUUUACGGAAGGAUUUGAGUAAGAGCAUGGCUGUUGGGACCCGAAAGAUGGUGAACUAUGCUUGAAUAGGGUGAAGCCAGAGGAAACUCUGGUGGAGGCUCGCAGCGGUUCUGACGUGCAAAUCGAUCGUCAAAUUUGGGCAUAGGG